RNAcentral lists this ribosomal RNA (950 nucleotides) under Escherichia coli. RNAcentral describes it as "partial 23S ribosomal RNA". It matches the Rfam family "Bacterial large subunit ribosomal RNA", at positions 398 to 1346 of the family's 2925-position model. The record is from RNAcentral. Lineage: Bacteria; Pseudomonadati; Pseudomonadota; Gammaproteobacteria; Enterobacterales; Enterobacteriaceae.
UGUGAGCUCGAUGAGUAGGGCGGGACACGUGGUAUCCUGUCUGAAUAUGGGGGGACCAUCCUCCAAGGCUAAAUACUCCUGACUGACCGAUAGUGAACCAGUACCGUGAGGGAAAGGCGAAAAGAACCCCGGCGAGGGGAGUGAAAAAGAACCUGAAACCGUGUACGUACAAGCAGUGGGAGCACAGAGCAAUCUGUGUGACUGCGUACCUUUUGUAUAAUGGGUCAGCGACUUAUAUUCUGUAGCAAGGUUAACCGAAUAGGGGAGCCGAAGGGAAACCGAGUCUUAACUGGGCGUUAAGUUGCAGGGUAUAGACCCGAAACCCGGUGAUCUAGCCAUGGGCAGGUUGAAGGUUGGGUAACACUAACUGGAGGACCGAACCGACUAAUGUUGAAAAAUUAGCGGAUGACUUGUGGCUGGGGGUGAAAGGCCAAUCAAACCGGGAGAUAGCUGGUUCUCCCCGAAAGCUAUUUAGGUAGCGCCUCGUGAAUUCAUCUCCGGGGGUAGAGCACUGUUUCGGCAAGGGGGUCAUCCCGACUUACCAACCCGAUGCAAACUGCGAAUACCGGAGAAUGUUAUCACGGGAGACACACGGCGGGUGCUAACGUCCGUCGUGAAGAGGGAAACAACCCAGACCGCCAGCUAAGGUCCCAAAGUCAUGGUUAAGUGGGAAACGAUGUGGGAAGGCCCAGACAGCCAGGAUGUUGGCUUAGAAGCAGCCAUCAUUUAAAGAAAGCGUAAUAGCUCACUGGUCGAGUCGGCCUGCGCGGAAGAUGUAACGGGGCUAAACCAUGCACCGAAGCUGCGGCAGCGACGCUAUGCGUUGUUGGGUAGGGGAGCGUUCUGUAAGCCUGUGAAGGUGUGCUGUGAGGUAUGCUGGAGGUAUCAGAAGUGCGAAUGCUGACAUAAGUAACGAUAAAGCGGGUGAAAAGCCCGCUCGCCGGAAGACC